This 364-nucleotide unclassified non-coding RNA is filed under the name uncultured bacterium. RNAcentral describes it as "contains 16S-23S intergenic spacer region". The record is from RNAcentral.
UCCGUGUUAACCACGGCAGUCUCGCCAGACAUGUAAAACUGGCAAUAGGGGUUGCGCUCGUUAUCCGACUUAACGGUACAUUUCACAACACGAGCUGACGACAACCGUGCAGCACCUGUCACUCUUGUCCGAAGAGGGGCUCCAUUUCUGGUGCCUUUCAAGAGGAUGUCAAACCUUGGUGAGGUGCUCCGCUUACCAUCGAAUUAAACCACAUGCUCCACCGCUUGUGCGGGUCCCCGUCAAUUCCUUUGAGUUUUAGUCUUGCGACCGUACUCCCCAGGCGGGAUGCUUAACGUGUUAACUUCGGCACUAGGGGGGUCGAUGCCACUAAUGCCUAGCAUCCAUCGUUUAGGGCGUGGACUAC